RNAcentral lists this ribosomal RNA (320 nucleotides) under uncultured eukaryote. RNAcentral's name for it is "partial 18S ribosomal RNA". It matches the Rfam family "Eukaryotic small subunit ribosomal RNA", at positions 1470 to 1796 of the family's 1831-position model. The record is from RNAcentral.
CCCCUAGAUGUUCUGGGCCGCACGCGCGCUACACUGAACAGUUCAACAAGUCUUAACCUUGGCCGAUAGGUCUGGGUAAUCUUUGAACGCUGUUCGUGAUUGGGAUAGACCUUUGCAAUUAUGGGUCUUCAACGAGGAAUUCCUAGUAAACGCAAGUCAUCAGCUUGCAUUGAUUACGUCCCUGCCCUUUGUACACACCGCCCGUCGCACCUACCGAUUGAAUGGUCCGGUGAAAUCUCGGGACGGCGGCUUGGUCGAUUGCGUCCGACUGCUGAAACUUGAUUAAACCAUAUCAUUUAGAGGAAGGUGAAGUCGUAACA